RNAcentral lists this ribosomal RNA (253 nucleotides) under uncultured bacterium. RNAcentral's name for it is "partial 16S ribosomal RNA". It matches the Rfam family "Bacterial small subunit ribosomal RNA", at positions 524 to 776 of the family's 1533-position model. The record is from RNAcentral.
UACGGAGGGGGCUAGCGUUGUUCGGAAUUACUGGGCGUAAAGCGCACGUAGGCGGCUUUGUAAGUUAGAGGUGAAAGCCCGGGGUUCAACUCCGGAAUUGCCUUUAAGACUGCAUCGCUAGAAUUGUGGAGAGGUAAGUGGAAUUCCGAGUGUAGAGGUGAAAUUCGUAGAUAUUCGGAAGAACACCAGUGGCGAAGGCGACUUACUGGACACAUAUUGACGCUGAGGUGCGAAAGCGUGGGGAGCAAACAGG